GCUGAGAUGGCCGAGUGGUAAAGGUGUUGGACUCAAAAUCCAAUAGGGUUUCCCUACAUAGGUUCUAAUCCUGCUCACAACA
This is a non-coding RNA of Crotalus tigris (Tiger rattlesnake), 82 nucleotides long. The record is from the annotation of a RefSeq genome assembly. NCBI's taxonomy places the organism in Eukaryota, Metazoa, Chordata, Lepidosauria, Squamata, Viperidae.